This 225-nucleotide ribosomal RNA is filed under the name uncultured Actinomycetales bacterium. Its description in RNAcentral is "partial 16S ribosomal RNA". It matches the Rfam family "Bacterial small subunit ribosomal RNA", at positions 106 to 334 of the family's 1533-position model. Lineage: Bacteria; Bacillati; Actinomycetota; Actinomycetes; Actinomycetales. The record is from RNAcentral.
GUGAGUAACACGUGGGUGAUCUGCCCUGCACUCUGGGAUAAGCCUGGGAAACUGGGUCUAAUACCGGAUAGGACCAUGCUUUAGUGUGUGUGGUGGAAAGUUUUUUCGGUGUAGGAUGAGCCCGCGGCCUAUCAGCUUGUUGGUGGGGUAAUGGCCUACCAAGGCGGCGACGGGUAGCCGGACUGAGAGGUUGGUCGGCCACAUUGGGACUGAGAUACGGCCCAG